UACGUAGGGUGCAAGCGUUAAUCGGAAUUACUGGGCGUAAAGCGUGCGCAGGCGGUUUUGUAAGUCUGACGUGAAAUCCCCGGGCUCAACCUGGGAAUUGCGUUGGAGACUGCAAGGCUGGAGUCUGGCAGAGGGGGGUAGAAUUCCACGUGUAGCAGUGAAAUGCGUAGAGAUGUGGAGGAACACCGAUGGCGAAGGCAGCCCCCUGGGUCAAGACUGACGCUCAUGCGCGAAAGCGUGGGGAGCAAACAGG
This 253-nucleotide ribosomal RNA is filed under the name uncultured bacterium. Its description in RNAcentral is "partial 16S ribosomal RNA". It matches the Rfam family "Bacterial small subunit ribosomal RNA", at positions 524 to 776 of the family's 1533-position model. The record is from RNAcentral.